This 798-nucleotide ribosomal RNA is filed under the name uncultured Pelagibacteraceae bacterium. Its description in RNAcentral is "bacterial SSU rRNA". It matches the Rfam family "Bacterial small subunit ribosomal RNA", at positions 44 to 889 of the family's 1533-position model. Lineage: Bacteria; Pseudomonadati; Pseudomonadota; Alphaproteobacteria; Candidatus Pelagibacterales; Candidatus Pelagibacteraceae. The record is from RNAcentral.
ACGCCUUAUACAUGCAAGUCGAACGCAGUAGCAAUACUGAGUGGCAAACGGGUGAGUAUAAUGUGGGUAUCUGCCUUUUGGUUUGGAAUAACAUGAGGAAACUUGUGCUAAUACCGGAUAAGCCUUCACAGGGAAAGUUUUAUACGCCGAAAGAUGAGCCCGCACUUGAUUAGUUUGUUGGUGAGGUAAUGGCUCACCAAGACUAUUAUCAAUAGCUGGUCUGAGAGGACGAUCAGCCACAUUGGGACUGAGACACGGCCCAGACUCCUACGGGAGGCAGCAGUAAGGAAUCUUGCACAAUGGGGGAAACCCUGAUGCAGCGAUGCCGCGUGAGUGAAGAAGGCCCUUGGGUUGUAAAACUCUUUCGUCGGGGAAGAAAAUGACUGUACCCGAAUAAGAAGGUCCGGCUAACUUCGUGCCAGCAGCCGCGGUAAUACGAAGGGACCUAGCGUAGUUCGGAAUUACUGGGCUUAAAGAGCUCGUAGGUGGUUAAAAAAGUUGAUGGUGAAAUCCCAAGGCUCAACCUUGGAACUGCCAUCAAAACUUUUUAGCUAGAGUGUGAUAGAGGAAAGUGGAAUUUCUAGUGUAGAGGUGAAAUUCGUAGAUAUUAGAAAGAACACCAAAUGCGAAGGCAACUUUCUGGGUCACUACUGACACUGAGGAGCGAAAGCAUGGGUAGCGAAGAGGAUUAGAUACCCUCGUAGUCCAUGCCGUAAACGAUGUGUGCUAGACGUUGGAAAUAUAUUUUUCAGUGUCGCAGCGAAAGCAUUAAGCACACCGCCUGGGGAGUACGACCGC